GACGAACGCUGGCGGUGUGCUUAACACAUGCAAGUCGAACGGAAAGGCCCUGCUUUUGUGGGGUGCUCGAGUGGCGAACGGGUGAGUAACACGUGAGUAACCUGCCCUUGACUUUGGGAUAACUUCAGGAAACUGGGGCUAAUACCGGAUAGGAGCUCCUGCUGCAUGGUGGGGGUUGGAAAGUUUCGGCGGUUGGGGAUGGACUCGCGGCUUAUCAGCUUGUUGGUGGGGUAGUGGCUUACCAAGGCUUUGACGGGUAGCCGGCCUGAGAGGGUGACCGGCCACAUUGGGACUGAGAUACGGCCCAGACUCCUACGGGAGGCAGCAGUGGGGAAUAUUGCACAAUGGGCGGAAGCCUGACGCAGCAACGCCGCGUGCGGGAUGACGGCCUUCGGGUUGUAAACCGCUUUCGCCUGUGACGAAGCGUGAGUGACGGUAAUGGGUAAAGAAGCACCGGCUAACUACGUG
This 468-nucleotide ribosomal RNA is filed under the name uncultured bacterium. RNAcentral's name for it is "partial 16S ribosomal RNA". It matches the Rfam family "Bacterial small subunit ribosomal RNA", at positions 28 to 507 of the family's 1533-position model. The record is from RNAcentral.